This is a long non-coding RNA of Triticum dicoccoides, 2224 nucleotides long. RefSeq lists it as uncharacterized. The transcript has 11 exons. The record is from RefSeq and is a predicted model, not a curated record. Lineage: Eukaryota; Viridiplantae; Streptophyta; Magnoliopsida; Poales; Poaceae.
UCCCGUCUGCCCCCUCCUACGCUGUAAGUACUGCCAACCCCGUUGCCAUGGCACCGCAGCCGCCUCUCUUCCCUCCCACUGCCUUCGACCGCGGCGGCGGCGGCCUCCCUUCAUGGGACCCCAGCCGCAUCUCCAACCCUUCCUUCGACCAGGGCUUCCUCAAGGCGGCCUUCGACGGCGAGCUCCACCUCGUCAAGAAGGCGGCGAGGGUGGUGGGAAGGGGGGCGGAAGGCAGUCGCCUCGCUGAGAAGAUGGGCGCGGUCAGGGACGGCUACGGCAUGGGCUUGUUGCAGACCGCGGCCCUAGGCGGGAGCCUGCCCGUGUGCCGCUACGGCGCUACCUUGUCGAGGACAUCCGGCUGGAUGUCGAUGACGUAGGCCCGAUGGGCGAAACACCUUUGACUGUUGCGAUUGGCCGUCAGAAUGUGGAUUUGGUGCGUUACUUUCUUGAUCAAGGUGCUGCUACAAUGAAGCUCAACGACAGUGGGAGUACUCCUCUCCACCUUGCUGCUGCAGAAGGAAGCUGUGAAAUAGUUGAGCUCUUACUCUCCAGUGGAGCUUAUGUUGAUGCAAUACAUCUUGGUGGGACGGCACUGCAUUCUGCUGCACGUAAUGGGCGGGAUGAUAUUGUGAAAAUUUUGCUAGAACACCAUGCAGAUGAAUGGUCACAGACGUCCCAGAAGGAUCACGGAUGAUGAGGAUUCAUCAACUUUCAUAGAUAAUAUGAGAAGCUAAUUCAUUUACUUUUGCAAUGUUUGUGUAUGCUAAUUUUGUUAUUUCAUCUUUAGUUUUUACUCACAGUAACAUGGUCCUGACCCCUCCCCUCCUUUAAGUUGUAUGCUAGUUCUAGUUAUACGCGAUUUCUAAUUUCUUAAUCUCUCAACAGCAUAAGAUAGCUUUGGGUGGUACUGGUUAUACAGCUCUUGCAAUUGUGCUACUGUUGUGCACUCACUGAAAUGUGUGAAGCUCCUGCUUGAGGCUGGUGCUGAUGUGGAUGGUAAUUGUAAAGAGACACCAUUAAUCAUUGCUGCCAUUAGUGCCUCAACUGAAAUCCUGAAGUGCUUAGUUCUGGCUGGUGCGGAUGCUAAUGUUCCUGACAGUUUAGGACGAGCUCCUAUUGAAAUUGCUGCCCGCUCUGGUAGGCGUGAAGAUGUUGAGAUUCUAUUUCCAGUCACUUCUUGUAUUCCAAAUGUACGUGACUGGAGUGUAGAUGGGAUCAUUAGGCGUAAAAUCAGCGCGCCCAGCGAAGAAAGCCAUGCUUACUAGUGCAAAAUCUACAGCGCAUGAGGCAUUCAAGAACGGGAACUAUUAUCUUGCAGCAAGAAUUUACAAAGAGGCAAUGGCACUUGAUCCUGGUAAUGCAACCUUGCUUUCAAAUAGGAGCCUAUGCUGGCUUCGCCUCAGGUGAUGCAAAGAACGCCUUGAAUGAUGCUCAAGCUUGCAGUAUGAUGCGGCCUGGCUGGCCAAAGGCCUCAUAUCGUGAAGGAACUGCUCUAAUGUUACUGAAGGACUAUGAAAAGGCAUGUGGUGCAUUUCUUGACGGUCUUAAACUGGAGCCCAGGAACGUAGAGAUGGAAGAUGGAUUACGGCAGGCUUUGGAAUCCUUGAAGAUAUAUCGCAGUAGCCCUGGGCAAGACUAGCUGGAUGAGCAUCAAGUAGAUGCGAGAAACUUGUAGUUACCAGACUUACACUGCUCACUGGAGAGACGGAGGUGCCCUGUUUUUCUGUCUCAUAGGCCCAUAAACUUAGAGAUUGGGUAGUUUGGAUGGCCUUCCGCUGAUCAUCAUCAGAUACCUUCCUCACUGGAUGCUCGAGACCGUUCUGCUGAUUGCGAUUUCGGGAGCAAAUGCUGUUCAGUAUGCAGCAUUUUUUUUCUAUGGUUCCGUGGAUAGGGAAACAUUUCUACCAUGGACAUUCCUAGUAAUAGCCUCUUAACUGACAGUAUUACCAGAUUGACGUUGAAUGCCUGUGUCUUGCUUCAGAUCUCUUGUCAAGCUAAAGAUCAUUGCCCAUAGACUUUGAUCAAUGUAGGUGGGGCAUAGGGCAAGUAAAACCGAACCUUGGAGCUUGUAUGGUCAUGAUUGUUAGGAGACUUUGCUGGCGACGAACUGUUGAGCUUUACAUGAUUUGCGUCAAUGUAUAUUCUCUAGAAACUGGCAUGUGUAGUGUAACAGUAUAGUAAAGAUGUUCCCUCGGAAAAAGAGAAAAACAGUGUUACUAGUCAA